GUUCACUUUGACACAUUUGCAGGAGAAAAAUAGUAAUUUAAAAACCACAUUUCUUUACUUGCAGUUGGGAACAGAUCAACAACAAACAAGCAAACUAAGAGCUCUGCUUCCAACAAGUAAAAGAGAAGGGAAAUAGGGAACUCCGCAGAGGGCUCUCUUUGGAUUCAGAGGAGGGAAGAAUCGAUUGGUUAGCGUUGGACAGACUGACAGUCUCCCCCAGCCGUGUCUACUAGAGAAAGUAUGCAAGGCUGUUAAAACUCGAACAAAAGUAGCCUUUAUGAUUAAGUGAGUUUUGGGGGUAUGCCAUAGCAAGUUGUGAAGAAGAGUUUUCCUGACAAAGAGAAACCUGGCUAAAAUUAUUUUGUAUAGUCAUAUAAUUUGGCAGGGGAAAAAAAGAGUAUGAAUCCAGAUGUUAAGCAAGACUCACAUCCCAGUCUUGAAUCUAUUUACAGUUCUUCACCUGGUUUUUGCUCUGUCUGAGGAAAGAACACUACAAAGUACGUUGCUGACCACCAUGACCGUGCAGCCCUCAGGGCCCUAGUUCAGUGAUCAGAGAUAAUUAUCCACUUGUGGUUCCUGUCUGAGAAUCAAAAUGGAUUUCGUCUCAUGAGUUGACUUCAUUGCUCGCUGUCCUCAACAUUUUUCUCCUUCACCUAGACUUCACUUCCAUAAAAUCUGUUCACCCACAGAUAAAGGCAAUAAUAUGUUUGCGUCCAUCAAAUACCAGGCCUAUAUU
Molecule: long non-coding RNA, 736 nt
Filed under: Pogona vitticeps (central bearded dragon)
Lineage: Eukaryota; Metazoa; Chordata; Lepidosauria; Squamata; Agamidae
Description: lncRNA (ENSPVIG00000017608.1)
Source: RNAcentral